AAUCAACGCUGGCGGCGUGCCUCAGACAUGCAAGUCGAACGCGAAAGGCCCCUUCGGGGGCCCGGUAGAGUGGCGCACGGGUGAGUAACACGUAGGUAAUUUGCCUUCGGGUGGGGAAGUAACAGCCGGAAACGGCUGCUAAUACCGCAUAAUGCAGCGGCUCGACAUCGAGACAGUUGUUAAAGCGGGGGAUCGCAAGACCUCGCGCCUGAAGAGAAGCCUGCGGCAGAUAGCUUGUUGGUGAGGUAAUGGCUCACCAAGGCGACGAUCUGUAACCGGCCUGAGAGGGCGGUCGGUCACACUGACACUGACAUACGGGUCAGACUCCUACGGGAGGCAGCAGUCGGGAAUUUUGGGC
Molecule: ribosomal RNA, 358 nt
Filed under: uncultured bacterium
Lineage: Bacteria
Description: bacterial SSU rRNA
Rfam family: Bacterial small subunit ribosomal RNA
Source: RNAcentral